Long non-coding RNA from Vanessa atalanta (red admiral), 216 nucleotides. RefSeq lists it as uncharacterized. The transcript has 3 exons. The record is from RefSeq and is a predicted model, not a curated record. NCBI's taxonomy places the organism in Eukaryota, Metazoa, Arthropoda, Insecta, Lepidoptera, Nymphalidae.
UCUUCCGAUCUGGGCGAGAGAGCACAGCCUCGGCGACUCUGAUGUCGCGUUUAUGUAUAGAUGUCUUAAGGCUGUGCUCUAGGAUGGUCUUUUCUGAAACACCCGCCGCUCGGCCGAUGAAUCUGCCGAUAGCGUCGCUUCCAUCGUCCGUGUAAUAGACACAGGUGUUAGUGUGUCUAGUGAUUGCCACAACUGCGUGAGGAACACUUUCGUGUA